This 466-nucleotide ribosomal RNA is filed under the name uncultured bacterium. RNAcentral describes it as "partial 16S ribosomal RNA". It matches the Rfam family "Bacterial small subunit ribosomal RNA", at positions 28 to 507 of the family's 1533-position model. The record is from RNAcentral.
GACGAACGCUGGCGGCGUGCUUAACACAUGCAAGUCGAACGGUGAAGCUCCAGCUUGCUGGAGUGGAUCAGUGGCGAACGGGUGAGUAACACGUGAGCAACCUGCCCCUGACUCUGGAAUAAGCGCUGGAAACGGCGUCUAAUACUGGAUACGAGAAGGGUCCGCAUGGGCACUUUCUGGAAAGUUUUUCGGUUGGGGAUGGGCUCGGCCUAUCAGCUUGUUGGUGAGGUAAUGGCUCACCAAGGCGACGACGGGUAGCCGGCCUGAGAGGGCGACCGGCCACACUGGGACUGAGACACGGCCCAGACUCCUACGGGAGGCAGCAGUGGGGAAUAUUGCACAAUGGGCGAAAGCCUGAUGCAGCGACGCCGCGUGAGGGAUGACGGCCUUCGGGUUGUAAACCUCUUUCAGCAGGGAAGAAGCGAAAGUGACGGUACCUGCAGAAGAAGCACCGGCUAACUACGUG